CGUUUUACCAAGUAACCGGAAAGCAUAAACUCCUUUACACAAACAUCUCCCUCAGAUGAAUUUGAAGUGAUGUGAUUUGUUACAGAAUAAUUGCUGGUAUAGUAAACAUUAUUUUACCACAGGACGCAGGUUCAUCAGAGCGAUCGCCGCAGUCAUCGUCCAGGUCCACACGUCCACGAGCUGGGAAUACAGCGUCCGCUCGCACACGAGUACUGAUUCGCAGGACAUGUCCGAGCUGAGGUCAAAGUCAAGCGUGAUAAAUAUUUAAAUGACCAGCGAUUAAACACAGAAAUAUAUCAGAUAUAAAAUAUUAACAUCUUUAACAGAUAAGCAGAGAGAUGUGUGAUGAUAAAAGAAAGAAAUAAAAGUCUAUUUACUAAAAUUCAUCUUCAGCCUGUAGAUGUGUGCAAGUUUAAACGUGUUUAAUCAUGGACAUGUUUAGCUAACUUUGUUGUCAUCUUUGUUUACGAUAACGAACCCACAAAGUUGUAAUCAUCAACAGACUCGCAUGAAUUCAGUUUGUCUCUGAUGUAAACAGGCAGAGUUUCUAUGAGAUGUGUAUACAUGUCCGGUUAUUACAGGCUAGACCAACGCUUAGCAUCAUUUAGCCACCGACACCAUCACAAGACAUUAAGGAUCUUCUAGAGUUACACCAUAUGAAAGUGUUAGUGUAGGCGAAUAACACACGCUCUUUCUUUUAGCAAUAAUCCAGAAUAAUAAGUGGAGAAUAUUUUAGCGAACGUCAGCCCCAUUCCUCAAUACAAUUCUUCAGAUUCUUCAGUCAGAGUGUAACCAAGUAGCAUCAGGUCGCUAGGCUAAUCGAGUGCUUUCUUUACAAAACCUUAAAGCGGUCCAUAAGUGUUACAAUAACGACAAACUACCGCAAUUCCAUUUGGGAGUCCAAAUGCAGGUGCUACAGGUGCUACUUGGGGCGGAGUCCAACUGCAGGUGCUACAGCAAAAUUCCUCUCUGAGCUGCACAGCGCUCAGAAACGAACCACCGCUCUGAUCAUGUCACUGUACAAUCGUACUCUCAGGCGCUGUUUAUUUUCUAUAAUCUUCAUUUGUUAUUUACUUAUUUUUGUAAUUAUAACUAUUUUCAUUUUUAUUUUAUUAUUAUACCUGUUAUUUUUAUUUUAAAUUGUGUAUUUUUUUUAUUCUCCUUUAUUAUUAUAUUGAUGCUUAUAUUGAGGGAAUAUUUUAUGUGAACAAUCACGCCAAUAAUUCUCUGAACUGAAAAAAUUGAGAAACAGCAGAUCUUCUCAAUCUGAUGGCAGAGUCAAGUCUCGCUCUCUGUCUCUCUCUCUCUGUCUGUCUCUCUCUCUCUCUGUCUGUCUCUCUCUCUCUCUGUCUGUCUCUCUCUCUCUCUGUCUGUCUCUCUCUCUCUCUGUCUGUCUGUCUGUCUCUCUCUCUGUCUGUCUCUCUCUCAUACAAGGUGACGAGAGCUUAGAAUUUCACGUGAACUAGAGGAGAAAAAUGUGAGGUUUCCUGCAGAGAUCAUCAGCUAAAGGUCACCUGUCUUGCAGAGAAGUCUUUGGGGGGUUUUGUCCACAGUGUGUGUG
Molecule: long non-coding RNA, 1561 nt
Organism: Ictalurus punctatus (channel catfish)
Lineage: Eukaryota; Metazoa; Chordata; Actinopteri; Siluriformes; Ictaluridae
Source: Ensembl